Molecule: long non-coding RNA, 108 nt
Organism: Thalassophryne amazonica
Lineage: Eukaryota; Metazoa; Chordata; Actinopteri; Batrachoidiformes; Batrachoididae
Exons: 3
Source: RefSeq, a predicted model, not a curated record
UGAACUUGUCCAAGGUCUGUGUCCCAAGAAUGUCCCUGUAAAUUUGAAGACUCUAACAAUGAUAGGACUGGAAUUAAGCUGAGCACAGACAGAUGGCGCAGUCGUCGC